AUCGCUUCUCGGCCUUUUAGCUAAGAUCAAGUGUAGUAUCUAUUCUUAUCAGUUUAAUAUCUGAUAUGUCCUCCAUCUGAGGACAAUAUAUUAAAUAUAUUUUUAGAGUCUGGGGAUGGAAUAGGAGCUUGCUCCAUCCACUCAACGCAUCGACCUGGUAUUGCAGUACCUCCAGGAACGGUGCACCCCCU
This 191-nucleotide small nuclear RNA is filed under the name Aotus nancymaae (Ma's night monkey). RNAcentral describes it as "U2 spliceosomal RNA (ENSANAG00000001433.1)". It matches the Rfam family "U2 spliceosomal RNA". Rfam says of the family: U2 is a small nuclear RNA (snRNA) component of the spliceosome (involved in pre-mRNA splicing). Complementary binding between U2 snRNA (in an area lying towards the 5' end but 3' to hairpin I) and the branchpoint sequence (BPS) of the intron results the bulging out of an unpaired adenosine, on the BPS, which initiates a nucleophilic attack at the intronic 5' splice site, thus starting the first of two transesterification reactions that mediate splicing. The record is from Rfam by way of RNAcentral. Lineage: Eukaryota; Metazoa; Chordata; Mammalia; Primates; Aotidae.